RNAcentral lists this transfer RNA (85 nucleotides) under Felis catus (domestic cat). It matches the Rfam family "tRNA". Rfam says of the family: Transfer RNA (tRNA) molecules are approximately 80 nucleotides in length. Their secondary structure includes four short double-helical elements and three loops (D, anti-codon, and T loops). Further hydrogen bonds mediate the characteristic L-shaped molecular structure. tRNAs have two regions of fundamental functional importance: the anti-codon, which is responsible for specific mRNA codon recognition, and the 3' end, to which the tRNAs corresponding amino acid is attached (by aminoacyl-tRNA synthetases). tRNAs cope with the degeneracy of the genetic code in two manners: having more than one tRNA (with a specific anti-codon) for a particular amino acid; and 'wobble' base-pairing, i.e. permitting non-standard base-pairing at the 3rd anti-codon position. The record is from Rfam by way of RNAcentral. Lineage: Eukaryota; Metazoa; Chordata; Mammalia; Carnivora; Felidae. RNAcentral also lists the same sequence under 1 other name.
ACCUGGGUGGCUCAGUCGGUUGAGCGUCUGACUUCAGCUCAGCUCAUGAUCUCACGGUUCGUGGGUUCGAGCCCCACGUCGGGCU